This 253-nucleotide ribosomal RNA is filed under the name uncultured bacterium. RNAcentral's name for it is "partial 16S ribosomal RNA". It matches the Rfam family "Bacterial small subunit ribosomal RNA", at positions 524 to 776 of the family's 1533-position model. The record is from RNAcentral.
UACGAAGGGGGCUAGCGUUGUUCGGAUUUACUGGGCGUAAAGGGCGCGUAGGCGGUGCGGUACGUCCGGCGUGAAAGCCCCGGGCUCAACCCGGGAAUAGCGCUUGAUACUGUUGCGCUUGAAUCCAGGAGAGGAUGGCGGAAUUCCCAGUGUAGAGGUGAAAUUCGUAGAUAUUGGGAAGAACACCAGUGGCGAAGGCGGCCAUCUGGCCUGGAAUUGACGCUGAGGCGCGAAAGCGUGGGGAGCAAACAGG